CAACAGGGAUUGCCCAGUAACGGCGAGUGAAGCGGCAACAGCUCAAAUUUGAAAUCUGGCCUCGCGGCCCGAGUUGUAAUUUGCAGAGGAUGCUUUUGGUGAGGUGCCUUCCGAGUUCCCUGGAACGGGACGCCAUAGAGGGUGAGAGCCCCGUCCGGUUGGAAGCCGAGCCUGUGUAAAGCUCCUUCGACGAGUCGAGUAGUUUGGGAAUGCUGCUCUAAAUGGGAGGUACAUGUCUUCUAAAGCUAAAUACCGGCCAGAGACCGAUAGCGCACAAGUAGAGUGAUCGAAAGAUGAAAAGCACUUUGAAAAGAGGGUUAAACAGUACGUGAAAUUGUUGAAAGGGAAGCGCUUGUGACCAGACUUGGGCCCGGCGAAUCAUCCAGCGUUCUCGCUGGUGCACUUCGCCGGCCCAGGCCAGCAUCAGUUCGCCUCGGGGGAUAAAGGCGUCGGGAACGUGGCUCCCUCGGGAGUGUUAUAGCCCUUCGCGCAAUACCCUGCGGCGGACUGAGGUCCGCGUUCUGCAAGGAUGCUGGCC
Molecule: ribosomal RNA, 538 nt
Filed under: Coniochaeta psammospora
Lineage: Eukaryota; Fungi; Ascomycota; Sordariomycetes; Coniochaetales; Coniochaetaceae
Description: eukaryotic LSU rRNA
Rfam family: Eukaryotic large subunit ribosomal RNA
Source: RNAcentral